RNAcentral lists this unclassified non-coding RNA (168 nucleotides) under soil metagenome. RNAcentral's name for it is "partial contains 5.8S ribosomal RNA, internal transcribed spacer 2, and large subunit ribosomal RNA". The record is from RNAcentral.
AACUGAUACUACCUGCGGGAACCUGCGGAGGGAUCAUUAGUGAACGCCCUCACGGGCUUAUAACUGUUCCAAACCUCUGUGAACCGUGCCCUUCGGGGCUAUUUUACAAACAUGGUGUAAUGAACGUCAUAUAUCAUAACAAAACAAAACUUUUAGCAAUGGAUCUCU